AGAGUUUGAUCCUGGCUCAGAGCGAACGCUAGCGGCGGGCCUAACACAUGCAAGUCGAGCGCAUACCUUCGGGUAUGAGCGGCGGACGGGUGAGUAACACGUAGGUAAUCUACCCUUUGGUGGGGAAUAACCCGGGGAAACUCGGGCUAAUGCCGCACGAGGUCUACGGAUCAAAGCCUUCGGGCGCCAGAGGAUGAGCCUGCGUUGCAUUACCUAGUUGGCGGGGUAACGGCCCACCAAGGGGACGAUGCAUAGCUGGUCUGAGAGGAUGAUCAGCCACACUGGGACUGAGACACGGCCCAGACUCCUACGGGAGGCAGCAGUGGGGAAUAUUGCGCAAUGGGGGAAACCCUGACGCAGCUACGCCGCGUGGGUGAUGAAGGCCUUCGGGUUGUAAAGCCCUGUCGGGAGGGACGAAUACUGACGGUACCUCCCAAGAAAGCACCGGCUAACUCCGUG
RNAcentral lists this ribosomal RNA (459 nucleotides) under uncultured bacterium. RNAcentral describes it as "bacterial SSU rRNA". It matches the Rfam family "Bacterial small subunit ribosomal RNA", at positions 8 to 507 of the family's 1533-position model. The record is from RNAcentral.